CAAGGUUAAUAACUGCUAGUCUCAAAACGCACGCACAUAAUGAAUGAGUUGAUGAAGAUGUCUGUCCAAUUAUACAAAGAGCUGAAUCGUGCAGGAAGGUGAGAGCUUGGAAGUAAAAGAACUAAACAGAAAAAACAAAUGACAGUGCAUAAUGGAAAUUCAGUGUAAUGACCAUGAAAACAAAUGUCCUCAGGGGAGAGUUGGUGGUGGCACGAAAAAUAAAAAGGGCCUGGACUUGAAUACAGUUUCAUCUGAUUCAUUUUCACCCACUUCCUAAAGAAGCCGCAAAACAAAGAAAAACAGGAUACUGAGUUCCUCUCUCCCUCCACCAAGUCCAGCCUUAAAGUUAUAUUUGUUCUUUGGGCAGAGCACUAAAUGCCGUCACAGCUUUUGAGAUGCUGUAACUCACUGUUAGGAAAAUUAUGAUCUGUUGAAAAAACUAAUUCAAAUUAAAAUGAUUGGUACUUACAAAGUUACUUUCUGUUUUUAAAUGCUUUCUGCUAUAAGUCUCAUUCACACAGUACUUAACUUGUACAUCUAAUAUUCACAGACACACACUGGAGAGGAGGAGCCGUGGACUGAUCCAUCGACCUUCUGAUUGGUAGACGAUCUGCUUUACCACCUGAGCCACAGCCGCCCAAGGAGAUGAGCUCGUUCCAGUUCCUAACAAACCCCAGAGUUGUUUGCUUAAUGUGAAAAUGUGAUCGUACCUCAAUCCAACUCAAUUACCAGAGACAGAAAUGGACGAGAAAGCAGCAGAGGGGGAACGACACACACGCAAUGGACUCAAACCGAGGCCCCUGCUGUGGCUUUCAGCAUCCGGGUCACAAGCUCAAACAGCACCGACCCAUCGAUACAUGGACUCCACUAGACCCCUGAAGGUGUGCUGGUGUGCUGUGGUAUCUGGCACCAAGAUGUUAGCAACAGAUCCAACACGUCCUGUAAGUCGAGGAUGGGCCACCAUGGAUCUUUGGCCAAGUCAACACCUCAAACUCAUUCCUGGUCUGCAGCAGUGCUUCGGUAAAUGGUACGUGUCAAACAAGCAUCAACAUAGAUGGCAAGGUUUCCCAGCAGAACAUAGCCCAAAGCAUCACAGCUCCUCCUUGGGUUUUCCUUCUUCCCCUAUUGGAUUCGGAUACUAGGCGUUUCCCCAGGUAAGUGAUCACAUGCACCUGGUCAUCCCCACGUGAUGUAAAAGAAAUCAUGAAAAUGUCAUCAGACCAGGCCACCUUCUUCAAUUGCUUUGUGGUUCAGUGCUGUAUUCUAAUUUGAUUGUGUUUUGGACAUUUUCAGUGCGUUAUUCUAGUUUCACUAUUGCCAAAAGGUUAGAGUGAGUGAGAGAAUGUAUGUUAACUAUGGGGUGCUACGCUUCAGUGUAAGCUCCACAACUGAACUGAAGCUAAUAAAGUGGACAAAAGGACGAUGGAGUCGUGUCUCAACAUGGACAGAGGUCAGCAUGGGCACCCUGACUGGUGUGCGGCAAAGCAGCCUCAUACACACCAAACUGUACUCUGUAUUCUGACACCUUUCUAUAAAAAACAGAAUGAACUUUUUCAGCAAUCUGAGCUACAGUAGCUCGUCUCUUGUAUCGGGCUGCACAGACUAGCCUUCGCUCCCCAUGUGCAUCAGUGAGCCUAAGCCACCCAUGACCCUGUUGCUGGUUCACCACUGUUCCUUCUCCACACCCCACAAGAGCUUCAGCUUUGGAGAUGCUCUGACCCUGUCAUCUACAGUAGCCAUCACAAUUUGGACUUUGUCAGACUCGCUCAGAUCCUUAUGCUCGCCCCUUUUUUUCCUGCUUCUAACACAUCAACUCUGAGAACAAAAUGUUUACUGGUUCCCUAAAAUAUCCCACCCAGCAACAGUUUCCAUGAUGAAAAGAUGAUCAGUGUUAUUCACUUCACCUGUCAGCAGUCACUUUGUUAUGUCUGAUCGGUGUAUACUGAAAUCCCAAACAGCUUUGUUAAUAUACAUUUUUAAUCUGCUCUUUAAUAAACAGACUCAUUUUUCAAAUUUUAGAAAAAUAUAAAAUGAACACAAAUCUGGAGAUUUGUGGCUUUGUGGAAAGUAAUGUUACACAUUGAAACACUAAGAUUACUAUUUACAUUCAUGGACAGUGUGAACAAACACCUGCCCCUACCCAUGUCGGUGACCAAGGGCUGAAAUUCAAAUGCUUUUCCCUCCCCCGUUUCUAAACCAGCAGUGGUCCAAACCUCUUGACCCCGCUCCCAUUCGAGCAGUAGCCCCAGGCUGUAGCCCUAUAUGCCUGCCCGCCCCCCCACCAUACAUGUGUCUGAUCGAAUGCUCUGCUCCACUUCAUCAGCUCUUAGUGAAUCAAUAGACAUCACAAAGAUAAUCUACACUAUGAUAGAGUGCUUACACGGCGACAGAGCGCUUUGAAAACUAUAUAAAGAGACAGGAAGAAAAAAUGGAAAGAUACUGAAACUAG
Molecule: long non-coding RNA, 2449 nt
Organism: Oreochromis niloticus (Nile tilapia)
Lineage: Eukaryota; Metazoa; Chordata; Actinopteri; Cichliformes; Cichlidae
Exons: 3
Source: RefSeq, a predicted model, not a curated record